ACAGAGGAAGUUUGUGUUGCUUUGGCUUCUGCCCUGAAAGCCAACCCCUCCCAUCUGAGAGAGCUGGAUCUGAGCUAUAAUCACCCAGGAGACUUAGGAGUGAAGCUGCUCUCUGAAGGACUGGAGGAUCCUCACUGGAGACUAGAAACCCUCAGGAUUGGUCAUGAUGAAGAGACAUUAAGACAGAGAAAGUUAUGUCUGUAAAACAGGUGGAACUCCUGCUCAUUAUAAAUGCUCUACCUUCUGAAACAGAACAUCAGUGACUGGACUGAAUAUGAACCUGUAGUCAACACUGUGGAUGAGGUCCAAACCUAUAGCCUACAGUCUGACCCAGGUCGCUUUGAGUGCAGUGUGUCUACCAUGCGCUGGGUUUGUAAGGAGAAGGUCAGCUUCAACUACAAGUUCUGCUCUUGGGAUGAGCACAGGGAGAGGCCUGCAUGCAUGAAUUACAUACCAGCAGGACCCCUAAUGGACAUUACAGUCACAACCGGGAAGUUAGAGGAGAUGCAUCUUCCACACUGGAUAUGUACAGAUGACAACCCCACAAUUUUGGACAGUUUUGCAGUUCUGCAUGUAGAUAUCAGUGGAGAUUACGUGGAAAAAGUGUCUGAAGUGACAUCAUCCCAUGUCAAGAUACUUCAUCCCAUUUCCUCUCCAAGAGGGGUCAUGAUCAGGAGUUUUUUAUGACAUGUUAAUAUUCAAGACAAACAAAGCAUCCCUCACCCUGCAUGUUUACCUGCUGCAACCUGAUCCAGUCGUACAACAGACAGUGAAGAGACAGGAAAACUCUGAUGCAUCCAGAAGAAUUCGAAAGCCGAGCCCCGACAAGCCCCUUCGGAUGGAGAAUCAUUUCUUCCUCACAACGGACACAGGCAUUUCAGAAAUAUUUCCUCUACAGAAACUAAAGCUCACAUGUGAGAGGAAGAACCCCAAUUUCUUUGAAGUGUUCAUAAGAGACGCAAACAGUGACUUCAGCCUAAAACUUGAAGGUGAACAAAAGAGAACUAAGGGAAUGGAAACAGUCUGGACCUGCAUGAUUCGAAAGGAUGACUACCAAGAAAGACGCAGUUAUCAUGAACAAGGUCAGCAUUUCGUGGAUCGUCAUCGGACAGAUCUGAUUAACAGGGUGACGGAUACAGGGUGUCAGAAGCACCUAGAUUUGCUUUUUCUGUGGCCAGAAAUUUACUCAUUUAUGCAACUUUGAAGUUAUAAUGAUUUUAGUCUUUUUAGUCUCCUUUUUUGGUACAUAAUAUGCAAUGUAUCACAUGACAUGCAGCUCCUGUCUGCUUUAUGUAGCUCUAUAAUGAGUUUCAGCUCAUUGUUUAGCUGUACGAGAAAAACACUCUGAAAAACUCCACUAUACACUAUCUGCUCAGCACCAAACAUCUAACAGUUAGCUAGUAAACAUAGCGGAGCACUUAGCAGCUGGUGACCCAGAUAUUUCCCUCAAGAGUUGAUAGAGACCAAAAAAGACAUUCAUCAUUACAUUCAUCAGUUGGACAGAAACACGACUACAAAUGAAUGAUAAUGUUGCUCUGUAACUGCUGGAUGUUUUAAAAAGCAACGGUUUGCUAAUAGUUCAACAUAUCAACUCAACAGGUGAUGAUGUGUUCACAGCUUGUUUCUGCUGCCCCCUAGUGGUCAAAAUCAGUUACUGCAUUUUAGAAGGUUGUCUAACUUGAAGGAUCUUUAUCAGAUCAGAAGAAUCAGUAAGGUUUCUUUUUAACUUACGAAAACAACACAGCCAUUUUCUACUUAUUUUAAUUGAUUUUCUUUUUUACUUAUUUACAU
Scomber japonicus (chub mackerel) is the source of this 1791-nucleotide RNA transcript. It is a transcript of the gene named NACHT, LRR and PYD domains-containing protein 1 homolog, with no coding region annotated. NCBI's taxonomy places the organism in Eukaryota, Metazoa, Chordata, Actinopteri, Scombriformes, Scombridae. The record is from RefSeq and is a predicted model, not a curated record. The transcript is spliced from 8 exons.